UAAUACCAGCUCCUCGAGUGGUCGGGGCGAUUAUUGGGCCUAAAGCAUCCGUAGCCGGUUCCGUAGGUCCUCUGUUAAAUCCAACCGCUUAACGGUUGACCUGCAGAGGAUACCGCGGGACUAGGAGGCGGGAGAGGCGGACGGUACUCCGCGUGUAGGGGUAAAAUCCUUUGAUCCGCGGAAGACCACCAGUGGCGAAGGCGGUCCGCCAGAACGCGCUCGACGGUGAGGGAUGAAAGCUGGGGGAGCGAACCGGAUUAGAUACCCGGGUAGUCCCAGCCGUAAACGAUGCUAGCUAGAUGAUUCAUUCGCAAGUCGCGAAUGAAGUGUCGCAGGGAAGCCGUUAAGCUAGCCGCCUGGGGAGUACGGUCGCAAGACUGAAACUUAAAUGAAUUGACGGUAUCGU
Molecule: ribosomal RNA, 406 nt
Filed under: uncultured archaeon
Lineage: Archaea
Description: bacterial SSU rRNA
Rfam family: Archaeal small subunit ribosomal RNA
Source: RNAcentral